GCAUUGGUGGUGUAGCGGUAACAUUGGGUCUUCCCAUUUGGUAUCUGGCCUAGCUCCGAGUUCGACUCUCGGCCAAUGCA
Non-coding RNA from Gymnopilus junonius, 80 nucleotides. NCBI's taxonomy places the organism in Eukaryota, Fungi, Basidiomycota, Agaricomycetes, Agaricales, Galerinaceae. The record is from the annotation of a GenBank genome assembly.